RNAcentral lists this ribosomal RNA (443 nucleotides) under uncultured bacterium. Its description in RNAcentral is "partial 16S ribosomal RNA". It matches the Rfam family "Bacterial small subunit ribosomal RNA", at positions 338 to 795 of the family's 1533-position model. The record is from RNAcentral.
CCUACGGGAGGCAGCAGUGGGGAAUAUUGGGCAAUGGGCGCAAGCCUGACCCAGCAACGCCGCGUGAAGGAAGAAGGCUUUCGGGUUGUAAACUUCUUUUCUCAGGGACGAAGCAAGUGACGGUACCUGAGGAAUAAGCCACGGCUAACUACGUGCCAGCAGCCGCGGUAAUACGUAGGUGGCAAGCGUUCUCCGGAUUUACUGGGGGUAAAGGGGGUGUAGGCGGGAAAGCAAGUCAGAUGUGAAAACCAUGGGCUCAACCUGUGGCCUGCAUUUGAAACUGUUUUUCUGGAGUACUGGAGAGGCAGACGGAAUUCCUAGUGUAGCGGUGAAAUGCGUAGAUAUUAGGAGGAACACCAGUGGCGAAGGCGGUCUGCUGGACAGCAACUGACGCUGAGGCGCGAAAGCGUGGGGAGCAAACAGGAUUAGAUACCCCGGUAGUC